UACUAUUGCUACUACUAAUAAUACCAUUACUACUUUGCUACUACUACUACUACCAUUAUUUCUACUACCAUUACUACUACUGCUACUACUACAUUACUACCACUACUACUACCACCACUAAUACUACUACCAUUAUUCUGCUACCAUUACUACUAAUACUAUUACUACCACUACCAUUACUACUAUUACUACUACUACUACCACUACCAUUACUACUACUACUACUACUACUACUACUACUACUACCAUUACUACUAAUACUAUUACUACCACUACCAUUACUACUAUUACUACUACUACUACCACUACCAUUACUACUACUACUACUACUACUACUACUACUACUAUUACUACUACUACUACCACUACCAUUACUACUACUACUACUACUACUACUACUACUAUUACUACUACUACUACCACUACCAUUAUUUCUACUACCAUUACUACUACUACUACUACUACUACUACUACCAUUACUACUGCUACCACUACUACUUUCUAAUGCCAUUACUACUUCUACCAUUACUAAAUCUGUCAUUCUGCCCCUGAACAAGGCAGUUAGCCCACUGUUCCUAGUCAUUGAAAAUAAGAAUUUGUUCUAAACUGAUUUGCCUAGUUAAAUGAAGGUUAAAAAAAGAAAAACAAUUACUACUGCCACUACUACCAUUACCAUUACUACCUUUACUAUUGCUACUACUACUAAUACCAUUACUACUACUACUACUACUACUCCUACUACCAUUACUACUUCUACUACCUUUACUAUUGCUACUACUAAUAAUACCAUUACUACUACUACUACUACUACUCCUACUACCAUUACUACUACUACUACCAUUACUAUUGCUACUACUAAUAAUACCAUUACUACUACUACUACUACUACUCCUACUACCAUUACUACUUCUACUACCAUUACUAUUGCUACUACUAAUAAUACCAUUACUACUACUACUACUACUACUCCUACCUCCAUUACUACUACUACUACCAUUACUACUACUACUACCAUUACUAUUGCUACUACUAAUAAUACCAUUACUACUACUACUACUACUACUACUACCACCAUUACUACUACUACUACUACUACUACCACCAUUACUACUAUUACCAUUACUACUACCACUACCAUUUAAAACAGCAGGCCUUGUUGUCCGGUAGCAGGCUGAAAACAGCAGGCCUUGUUGUCCGGUAGCAGGCUGAAAACAGCAGGCCUUUUUGUUCGGUAGCAGGCUGAAAACAGCAGGCCUUGUUGUCUGGUAGAAGGCUGAAAACAGCAGGCCUUGUUGUCUUGUAACAGGCUGAAAACAGCAGGCCUUGUUGUCUGGUAACAGGCUGAAAACAGCAGGCCUUGUUGUCUGGUAACAGGCUGAAAACAACAGGCCUUGUUGUCCAGUAGCAGGCUGAAAACAGCAGGCCUUGUUGUCUGGUAGAAGGCUGAAAACAGAAGACCUUGUUGUCCGGUAGCAGGCUGAAAACAGCAAGCCUUGUUGUCCGGUAGCAGUCUGAAAACAGCAAGCCUUGUUGUCCGGUAGCAGGCUGAAAACAGAAGACCUUGUUGUGAUCCACUGUACAUUGUUAUCCUUUUCAGAACAUGCUGAAUGGUUGGUUGGAUGUGUGGGUGGAGUUGGACCAGAGGAACGUUUUGGCACUGCGUUAUCAGUAGGGAUGGAGUGGGUGACCUAAUCUAUGGAUAGGUGUCAUUAAAUUAGAACAGGAAUGUACAGUAUUAUGUGACAUGAUUUGUGUGGUGUGUAACCUUGAUUUACCUCAGAGUGAGAUGGCUUAUAUCAUAUAAAGUUCAGUAAACUCCAAAAGUAUUGGGCCAUUGACACACUCCAGCACUUUCAUUUGGACAAUUCUGUGGCAAAACGUUUCCUAGAAGGGAAGCAGACAUAAUGGAACGGGGAGGAGUUUACCUGAAGUUGUCCAAUAGAAGCUCUCGUUUUAGAUGACUGUUUGACUAACGAUUACACACCAGGUUCGCUGAAAAAAAAGUGUGCUGUUUUAAAAUAAUUUUUUAUUAGCGAUUGUCAAGAAUGCAGAUAUUAUUAUUUUUCCUGAUUUUUUUUUUGCAAUAUUUGAUCGAAAGGCUAAGAGAGCUUCAUACGCUGUUUAUUGAUUGUGGGGUUUGAAUAGUGUGAGAAUACAGCGUAGGGUACUAAAAAAUAAAAAAUAAUUACAGAAGUUAUUCUUCUGUUAUUUAUUAUUACGUGUUAAUAGUAUCCUCUGAUUACAAUUAUUCUAUCUAAUAUUUUAACUAAAUGUAAUCUAUUAGCUAUUAAAAUCUAAGCGGUAUUACAUCCGGCCGUGAUUGGGAGUCCCAAAGGGUGGCGCACAAUUGGCCCAGCGUCGUCCGUCAUUGUAAAUAAGAAUUUGUUAUUAACUGACUUGCCUAGUUAAAUAAUGGUUAAAUUAAAAUAAAAAUAUCUAUCAGUCUGGACUGAUGGAAGGGCUUGUCCUGUACUUUGUAAAGACCCAGAGUACAUUGACUGAAUGUCCUUUCUAUACAUAGCAACAUAAAGGACUCGGACUAAAACACAGGUGGUGUGAACUGGCAGAAGAGUUGAGUCCUCAUUCAAAGGCAAGGGCAGUGUGAACACAAAGAGAACAGAGUUAUUUUGUUUUGUUUUACCCCAGGGUUUGCUUUAAAGAGGACUCCUACUCAAUGUGGUAGUCGAAAGGACCACUCAGUAAUAAUCGUCGUCUUCUUCAAGCACUGCUUCAAGCUCAUUGUUGUUGUCGUCAUCCUCCUCUAUGUCCUUACUACUACCAUUACUGUUACUACCAUUACUACUACUACU
Molecule: long non-coding RNA, 2810 nt
Organism: Oncorhynchus tshawytscha (Chinook salmon)
Lineage: Eukaryota; Metazoa; Chordata; Actinopteri; Salmoniformes; Salmonidae
Source: Ensembl